Molecule: ribosomal RNA, 544 nt
Filed under: Chaetomium globosum
Lineage: Eukaryota; Fungi; Ascomycota; Sordariomycetes; Sordariales; Chaetomiaceae
Description: LSU rRNA
Rfam family: Eukaryotic large subunit ribosomal RNA
Source: RNAcentral
ACACUGCAUGCCCUAGUACGGCGAGUGAAGCGGCAACAGCUCAAAUUUGAAAUCUGGCUUCGGCCCGAGUUGUAAUUUGCARAGGAAGCUUUAGGCGCGGCACCUUCUGAGUCCCCUGGAACGGGGCGCCAUAGAGGGUGAGAGCCCCGUAUAGUUGGAUGCCUAGCCUGUGUAAAGCUCCUUCGACGAGUCGAGUAGUUUGGGAAUGCUGCUCAAAAUGGGAGGUAAAUUUCUUCUAAAGCUAAAUACCGGCCAGAGACCGAUAGCGCACAAGUAGAGUGAUCGAAAGAUGAAAAGCACUUUGAAAAGAGGGUUAAAUAGCACGUGAAAUUGUUGAAAGGGAAGCGCUUGUGACCAGACUUGCGCCGGGCGGAUCAUCCGGUGUUCUCACCGGUGCACUCCGCCCGGCUCAGGCCAGCAUCGGUUCUCGCGGGGGGAUAAAGGCCCUGGGAACGUAGCUCCUCCGGGAGUGUUAUAGCCCGGGGCGUAAUGCCCUCGCGGGGACCGAGGUUCGCGCAUCUGCAAGGAUGCUGGCGUAAUGGUC